This is a long non-coding RNA of Poecilia reticulata (guppy), 381 nucleotides long. RefSeq lists it as uncharacterized. NCBI's taxonomy places the organism in Eukaryota, Metazoa, Chordata, Actinopteri, Cyprinodontiformes, Poeciliidae. The record is from RefSeq and is a predicted model, not a curated record.
GAAACGGAGGUUAGGGAAGCUAGGUGGUCUACCUAGCCAAUGGGAAGUUUAGUUUCCAGUGAGUUUAAACCAAUCAGAAUUCAGACUGCCGCUGCAAGCCCCGCCCUUCUUCCCUGUAUCUGCAGCAUUGUGUGUGUAAGCGAGAGAGAUCCGCGAUGAGAAGGAAACGGUUAAGCUGGGCAACAUCGGGCUUCAAGUAAAGCUCCAGACCUCACAACCUGCCUGCUCUUCCUGGCUGUUUCCAGCUUUCCUCCUCGGAGUCACCAGGCACCAAGCUUCCCCUUCUGGUUCACCUUGGACAAAAACCGGAGUUUUUCCACCACCUCCUGGUUUCCACAAACACCUUCAAUCUCUUUUGUAAAUAAAUCACAACAAACUGUG